UUGGCCCUCAAUCAAGGCCAGUGGUUUGCUGUAGCUGCUGGUUUCAACAGGAGCCCAGAGGAAGCAGCUCCCGGUCUGUUGGUGCUCCCCAUCCCUGUGGAUCAACCAAUUCGUGUGGGAGCAACAGGA
Pezoporus flaviventris is the source of this 129-nucleotide small nucleolar RNA. The record is from RefSeq and is a predicted model, not a curated record. Lineage: Eukaryota; Metazoa; Chordata; Aves; Psittaciformes; Psittacidae.